GUGAUGACGAGGCACUACGGUGCUGAAGUAACAAAUGCCCUGCUUCCAGGAAAAGCCUCUAAGCAUCAGGUAACAUCAAAUCGUACCCCAAACCGACACAGGUGGUCAGGUAGAGAAUACCAAGGCGCUUGAGAGAACUCGGGUGAAGGAACUAGGCAAAAUGGUGCCGUAACUUCGGGAGAAGGCACGCUGGUGUGUAGGUGAAGUCCCUGCGGAUGGAGCUGAGACCAGUCGAAGAUACCAGCUGGCUGCAACUGUUUAUUAAAAACACAGCACUGUGCAAACACGAAAGUGGACGUAUACGGUGUGACGCCUGCCCGGUGCCGGAAGGUUAAUUGAUGGGGUUAUCCGUAAGGAGAAGCUCUUGAUCGAAGCCCCGGUAAACGGCGGCCGUAACUAUAACGGUCCUAAGGUAGCGAAAUUCCUUGUCGGGUAAGUUCCGACCUGCACGAAUGGCGUAAUGAUGGCCAGGCUGUCUCCACCCGAGACUCAGUGAAAUUGAACUCGCUGUGAAGAUGCAGUGUACCCGCGGCAAGACGGAAAGACCCCGUGAACCUUUACUAUAGCUUGACACUGAACAUUGAGCCUUGAUGUGUAGGAUAGGUGGGAGGCUUUGAAGCGUGGACGCCAGUCUGCGUGGAGCCAACCUUGAAAUACCACCCUUUAAUGUUUGAUGUUCUAACGUUGGCCCCUGACCGGGGUUGCGGACAGUGUCUGGUGGGUAGUUUGACUGGGGCGGUCUCCUCCCAAAGCGUAACGGAGGAGCACGAAGGUUAGCUAAUCCUGGUCGGACAUCAGGAGGUUAGUGCAAUGGCAUAAGCUAGCUUGACUGCGAGCGUGACGGCGCGAGCAGGUGCGAAAGCAGGUCAUAGUGAUCCGGUGGUUCUGAAUGGAAGGGCCAUCGCUCAACGGAUAAAAGGUACUCCGGGGAUAACAGGCUGAUACCGCCCAAGAGUUCAUAUCGACGGCGGUGUUUGGCACCUCGAUGUCGGCUCAUCACAUCCUGGGGCUGAAGUAGGUCCCAAGGGUAUGGCUGUUCGCCAUUUAAAGUGGUACGCGAGCUGGGUUUAGAACGUCGUGAGACAGUUCGGUCCCUAUCUGCCGUGGGCGCUGGAGAAUUGAGGGGGGCUGCUCCUAGUACGAGAGGACCGGAGUGGACGCAUCACUGGUGUUCGGGUUGUCAUGCCAAUGGCACUGCCCGGUAGCUAAAUGCGGAAGAGAUAAGUGCUGAAAGCAUCUAAGCACGAAACUUGCCCCGAGAUGAGUUCUCCCUGAGACUUUAAGUCUCCUGAAGGAACGUUGAAGACGACGACGUUGAUAGGCCGGGUGUGUAAGCGCAGCGAUGCGUUGAGCUAACCGGUACUAAUGAACCGUGAGGCUUAACC
RNAcentral lists this ribosomal RNA (1385 nucleotides) under Klebsiella pneumoniae. Its description in RNAcentral is "bacterial LSU rRNA". It matches the Rfam family "Bacterial large subunit ribosomal RNA", at positions 1563 to 2925 of the family's 2925-position model. Lineage: Bacteria; Pseudomonadati; Pseudomonadota; Gammaproteobacteria; Enterobacterales; Enterobacteriaceae. The record is from RNAcentral.